Molecule: non-coding RNA, 1534 nt
Organism: Camelina sativa (false flax)
Lineage: Eukaryota; Viridiplantae; Streptophyta; Magnoliopsida; Brassicales; Brassicaceae
Source: RefSeq, a predicted model, not a curated record
UUCUUCUACUCUGUUUCACGAGAAGCACAACUGACAAACACAACUGAAAAUCAAUCCUAAUUUCACUCCCACUAAAAGAUCCACGUUCAUGGUGGUUACAACAAUUCCCAUUUGUUUAUAAAUGUUCGUCAAUAUUCUUGAAACGCAAAGAAAGUUGCUGAAAACCUCUUUCUUUAUCACGGAGCUGCAACAUGCCUCUCGAUUUUACUCAUCUCUCUAAUCUAGAUUCUUUAAAAAGAGAAUGGAAGAUCAAAGUUCUAAUAGCCAGGACAUGAAAUUUUUAUCCAAAAGACAAACCUAGAGUUAUUCUGGGUAUUGAAGCAAUUCUCGUGGAUGCAAAGGGGAAUCGAAUUCAAGCAUUGGUGAAAAACAAUUUAGUUAGAAAAUUCAAAAAGCAAUUGGUGGAAGGAAGGUUUUGUGAUAUCAUGAAUUUUGAAGUUCGUGAUAAUCUGGGUGACUACAAGGGAACUCUGCAUCCUUACUAGAUCAAUUUCAUGUUUACUACAUGGGUGAAGCCGUGUGAUCAGAUCCCAAUUGAGACUCUUAAGGAUACAAGAUUCGUUUCUGUUUUCCGAUGAUGCGGAGCUUCCUGUUCCAAAAGGAAUCUCUGUCUCGAAGUGGCUCAUUUUCUACUUCUGAGGCUCGAUCUGCUCAAUUAUUCAGCAAGGCCCAAACAAUCAUCAGGCACCAAUGAUAGAACUGCUCACGGUCGUCCCCCUCAUGAGGAGAAGAGACAUGUUUCAGCUAAUGGACAUUCAAGACCGUCUUCCUCUGGUAGCCAUUUGAAUCAUUCAAGACCGGCUUCCUCAGGCAGCCAAAUGCAGUAGAGACAAACCGUCAAGCACCCAUGAGGCAACGGGUAGUAGAACAGAGAAAGGUUUCCCGUUACAUCGCCACAUCCCGAAUGAUACCAAAACAAUCAGUGCCUAACUCGAAACAUCAGAUGAUGAGUAAACCAGCGCCCAAGAGACCUCCCUCGCGCGUUAUAGAUCAUGAUAGGAGGCUGCUGAAGAAGAAGAGGCUGCAAUAAGGUCAGAGGAUGAAGAAGCGUUCAACAUGCUUAGACAGUUGUUACCCAGCAAGCGUUUUUCUAGGUACGAAGAUGAUGACAUAAACAUGGAAGUCGGGUUUGAAGAUAUCCAAAAAGAAGAGAGACGAAGGUACAUAAGUAUUCUGAUCUUCAUGUAUUUGUUUGUUUGAUAUUCCUUAACGAUUCAUGUGGAAUUGUUUAAAUGUACUGCAAGAAUCGCAAGGGAGGAAGAUGAAAUCAUGAAAGAGAACUUCAACUCUUAGAGGAAGAAGAAAGGAGAGAAAGAGUAAGAAAGAAUCGAAAGCUGAGUUGUUAACAAAAAAAAAAAGUUAGAAGAAUCCUUUGUCUUUAGUCUUCUUUUAGGACUUCAGAUUAUUAUUAUUUUUUACUGUUCUCCUCAUUUAAAUCUCUUUGGCCGCUUGAGGCAGAAAAGAGUUUUAAUUGAAUCUCUGAUUCUUUUAUUCAAUUGAAUUUCUGAAUGUAAUCUACCCAAGCCUUAUUCAA